This 168-nucleotide ribosomal RNA is filed under the name Bacillus sp. cl96. RNAcentral's name for it is "23S rRNA. Bacterial LSU". It matches the Rfam family "Bacterial large subunit ribosomal RNA", at positions 2757 to 2925 of the family's 2925-position model. The record is from RNAcentral. Lineage: Bacteria; Bacillati; Bacillota; Bacilli; Caryophanales; Bacillaceae.
GGAAGGGAUAAGUGCUGAAAGCAUCUAAGCAUGAAGCCCCCCUCAAGAUGAGAUUUCCCAUAGCGUAAGCUAGUAAGAUCCCUGAAAGAUGAUCAGGUUGAUAGGUUCGAGGUGGAAGCAUGGUGACAUGUGGAGCUGACGAAUACUAAUAGAUCGAGGACUUAACCA